This is a long non-coding RNA of Lacerta agilis (Sand lizard), 342 nucleotides long. RefSeq lists it as uncharacterized. NCBI's taxonomy places the organism in Eukaryota, Metazoa, Chordata, Lepidosauria, Squamata, Lacertidae. The record is from RefSeq and is a predicted model, not a curated record. The transcript is spliced from 3 exons.
UGGCUUCUCUUGUCGGGACACCACUGCAGGGGAGGCCCUUUCCUGGGCCAUCACCACACAAUAAGGUACAUCUUUUGGUGGGACAGCCAUCCUUGUUUUGUUCCAGCUCUUUUUUUUACAGACUUCACAGAGCUACCUGUGCCUGAAGCAAAUCUGCUCCAUUGACAAAAGGCAAUGUCAGAGCUCUUGAUACAUCAAGUGAACAUGUGCAAUGUAGGAUUGAGAGACACCUGCAUCUUGACUGCGCUGCUUUAGUUCUGUCCAAGAGCCCACCACACUCAGGUGAAGCCAGCUCUUCCUGCAGAAGUCAGACCAGCAGAAGGAACUUCCAGGCCCAUGAAU